Molecule: small nuclear RNA, 177 nt
Organism: Ailuropoda melanoleuca (giant panda)
Lineage: Eukaryota; Metazoa; Chordata; Mammalia; Carnivora; Ursidae
Gene: U4
Rfam family: U4 spliceosomal RNA
About the family: U4 small nuclear RNA (U4 snRNA) is a component of the major U2-dependent spliceosome.
Source: Ensembl
AACUUUGUGCAGCGGCAGUAUCAUAGCCAAUGAGUUUAUCCGAGGCAUGAUUAUUGCUAAAGUGAAUGAAUGAAUUCCACCUCCUUAGUUACAGUUAUUAAUUCAAGAAUGACCCAAUUCAUACUAAAACUUAACUUCAGAGACUCUGUUUAGAAUUAUUAGAAAUUCGUGACAGAG